UAAGGAUGUGCUUGUCUUCAGUUUAGUGA
Molecule: non-coding RNA, 29 nt
Filed under: Rattus norvegicus (Norway rat)
Lineage: Eukaryota; Metazoa; Chordata; Mammalia; Rodentia; Muridae
Source: RNAcentral